GCCGGAGUGGCGGAAUUGGCAGACGCAAGGGACUUAAAAUCCCUCGAAGCCUAGCUUUGUACGGGUUCAAGUCCCGUCUCCGGCA
Molecule: transfer RNA, 85 nt
Filed under: Nitrospirota bacterium
Lineage: Bacteria; Pseudomonadati; Nitrospirota
Description: Nitrospirae bacterium (sediment metagenome) tRNA-Leu
Rfam family: tRNA
About the family: Transfer RNA (tRNA) molecules are approximately 80 nucleotides in length.
Source: RNAcentral